This is a long non-coding RNA of Megalops cyprinoides (Indo-Pacific tarpon), 630 nucleotides long. RefSeq lists it as uncharacterized. The record is from RefSeq and is a predicted model, not a curated record. NCBI's taxonomy places the organism in Eukaryota, Metazoa, Chordata, Actinopteri, Elopiformes, Megalopidae. The transcript is spliced from 3 exons.
AGAAGCGCGGUUUGUCAACAGUGAUCGUAUUUGUUUUUCUUUGGAAAAUAUACUGGUAUGGAUUUCAUGUCAGAAGGGACAAGAGUCGGAUACAAGACCAUUGCUGAAUUGUUAGGAAAACUGACAGAAGAGACGACUAAACUUGAGGAAUACCAAAAGAAGAUGACUGAGUAUAACCAUGCCAUCGGUAAUCUUAAUACAUCCUUCAAUCAGGCACAGGCACGACUGGCAAGAGUGGCAGCAGCCAAAUGCGGCAGUGGUCUGCUAAACCUUUAAGCACCCAGAAGAGGAUAUUCACACUGUACCAUUGAUCAGAUAUGUUUGGUUUCGUUUGUACUUAAUAAAUUUGGCUAAAUAAGCUAAGUUGAAUUAGUUUUGUGACUGGCAUACAAAAAAUGAAUUUUGUAUACAUUGCCAUCAACAUACAACAUACUUUGGGUGGUGAUGUGUUGGUGGCAAAUUCAUCUUUUAACUGGAAUGGCCAAGCGCUGUAUUUAUGCAGUUGCGUCUGACUAGACCAGGUUUGUAUGAGGGCAGGACAAAAAAAAAAACCCCUCUAAAAUCACUUCCACAAAAUACUCCAGGCAAAACACUGAACAGUUUCAGUAAAGGCAACAGUCAGCUGUAACA